UACAGCCAUAUCAUGCUGAAACACCGGUUCACGUACGAUCACUGAAGUUAAGCAAUGUCAAGCCUGGUUAGUACUUAGAUGGGUUACCACUUGGGAAUAACAGGUGCU
Non-coding RNA from Acanthosepion pharaonis, 108 nucleotides. The record is from the annotation of a GenBank genome assembly. NCBI's taxonomy places the organism in Eukaryota, Metazoa, Mollusca, Cephalopoda, Sepiida, Sepiidae.